GGAUACCAAGCAUGGCCUGAAUUUCCACUAUGUGAUGAUUUAAAUGUAGCUGUCAUUUUAAAUUAUUUCAUCUACAGUUCAUUCAAGGGAUAUUGCUGUUUGGAGGCGCAAGUCAAUGAUUAUGACUCCCUCCAUUGUGUAGCAGCAAACUCAAAUAGGAACGCACAGAAACAGCUGCUUCGAGUCGGAAAAAAAGUUUAAACGUGGAGGGAAUUUGGUUCCUCUCCAUCAACUGUACUACCAAAAAGGCAUUACCUUCCACAUAGAGCAUCUGAAUUCCAAAAGUUGAGUUAACCCUCAAGGACUAUUAGGUUUUUCUUCAAUGCAGUGAUAUGAGGGUUGCCACAAAAGAAGAGGAAAAUGGAAGUGAUCAAAAAACCAAGAAAUGUAUUCCGAGUACUGCUGCUAUCAACUCAUCAAAAAGGAGUUUUAUAUUGGCUAGAACCAUUGACAAGCUGAGCCGUAAAUUUCCACCUGAAAAUUCAUCGCAAAAGCAUCAGCCUGCUUUGGACAGGAUUCCACUACCGAGACAAUUUCACACCAUUAACCAGCCUCGCAAAUGUUGAAAGAAGUUACCUGUGCAACAUAUGACAGUCACCAUGCAGAGUGAAGAAAUCAUUGAUAACAUGUUUAAAAUGUAAAUAUCAGUCUCUUCCAAGUUAUACAAUGCUACUGCUCCUUGCAUUAUCCUUAAACUACUAGAAACCUUCCUGGCCAAAUGUGACAUUAGUCCAACAUGUUUUUUGCUUGCAAGGGUGUAUAAGAGUUAUGUAGUUAGUGUCUCCUGGGCUAAUUGAUCUAUUGAAAAUUUAUCUUCAAUAAGUAAAACAGCUGUGACAGUUACCCUUUUUAAUUUUGUCUUCUCGAACUAAAUGGUAAGUGUCUAAGAGUAUUAGUACAGUAGAAGUUCCAUAGGAUAUUAAUCCAUUUAUGGUGUAGCUUGUACCUGGGGUGAUUGAAGGGACCAAAAUGAGGAUUAGCUAUGUUUACUCUCACCCCCAUAUUGGUAAUAAACUACUACUUUUGAUGCA
RNA transcript from Carcharodon carcharias (great white shark), 1031 nucleotides. It is a transcript of the gene named death-associated protein-like 1-B, with no coding region annotated. NCBI's taxonomy places the organism in Eukaryota, Metazoa, Chordata, Chondrichthyes, Lamniformes, Lamnidae. The transcript has 5 exons. The record is from RefSeq and is a predicted model, not a curated record.